Molecule: ribosomal RNA, 512 nt
Filed under: uncultured bacterium
Lineage: Bacteria
Description: partial 16S ribosomal RNA
Rfam family: Bacterial small subunit ribosomal RNA
Source: RNAcentral
GAUGAACGCUGGCGGCGUGCCUAAUACAUGCAAGUCGAACGAAACUUCUUUAUCACCGAGUGCUUGCACUCACCGAUAAAGAGUUGAGUGGCGAACGGGUGAGUAACACGUGGGCAACCUGCCCCAAAGAGGGGGAUAACACUUGGAAACAGGUGCUAAUACCGCAUAACCAUAGUUACCGCAUGGUAACUAUGUAAAAGGUGGCUAUACUACCGCUUUUGGAUGGGCCCGCGGCGCAUUAGCUAGUUGGUAGGGUAAAGGCUUACCAAGGCAAUGAUGCGUAGCCGAAUUGAGAGGUUGAUCGGCCACAUUGGGACUGAGACACGACCCAAACUCCUACGGGAGGCAGCAGUAGGGAAUCUUCCACAAAGGGCGAAAGCCUGAUGGAGCAACGCCGCGUGGGUGAAGAAGGUCUUCGGAUCGUAAAACCCUGUUGUUAGAGAAGAAAGUGCGUGAGAGUAACUGUUCACGUUUCGACGGUAUCUAACCAGAAAGCCACUGCUAACUACGUG